GACAGAGGGGGCGAGAGUUGUUCGGAAUUACUGGGCUUAAAGGGCGAGUAGGCGGUGGAGCAAGUCUGAGGUGGAAUCCUACGGCUUAACCGUAGAACUGACUUGGAAACUGUUUUACUUGAGUCAGUGAGGGGAGGGCGGAAUUCCUGGUGUAGCGGUGAAAUGCGUAGAUAUCAGGAGGAAGGCCUGUGGCGAAAGUGGCCCUCUGGCACUGUACUGACGCUGAGGCGCGAAAGCGUGGGGAGCAAACAGG
RNAcentral lists this ribosomal RNA (253 nucleotides) under uncultured bacterium. Its description in RNAcentral is "partial 16S ribosomal RNA". It matches the Rfam family "Bacterial small subunit ribosomal RNA", at positions 524 to 776 of the family's 1533-position model. The record is from RNAcentral.